Molecule: RNA transcript, 1107 nt
Organism: Culicoides brevitarsis
Lineage: Eukaryota; Metazoa; Arthropoda; Insecta; Diptera; Ceratopogonidae
Gene: Idi
Gene name: isopentenyl-diphosphate Delta-isomerase 1
Exons: 2
Source: RefSeq, a predicted model, not a curated record
GUCAAGUCAAGACAUCUCGUCGCGAAUAAAUUUACAGAAAAAACAGUGAAAAACAUCAUUUUUAGGAAUUUAAAUGAGCUUGUGACACUCAAACGCCCCAAAAAUAGAGAUUCGAAACAAUCAAGGCCAAGUUUUUGUGCGAAUUGAGAGAAAACGAUGCGUGGUUUCAUGCGAGUGCUUUGCCAAAACCUCACCAAAAAUGUCCAAAGAAGUAGAAGCUUUCACCAAAACCAGGGAGGCGGUCAAAAAUCAAAAAGUAUCGCGGGCCUGCAGGCGGCAAUCGACCUCCAGCACAGCGCCAUGAGCGAGCAAUGCAUCUUGGUUGACGAGCACGACCGGAAUUUGGGUCAGAUUUCUAAAAGGGAGUGUCAUCGCGUCAUUGACGGACAAAUUCCGUUGCAUCGUGCCUUCAGCGUGUUCCUUUUCAAUGCGCGCGGCGACAUGUUGCUGCAAAAACGCAGCAGCUACAAGAUCACGUACCCGAAUCACUACACGAACGCCUGUUGCUCGCAUCCGUUGUACGAAAUCGAGGGCGAACGCGAAGAACGCGAUGCCUUGGGGAUUCGGCGGGCCGCUCAGCGACGCUUGAAUCACGAACUGGGCAUUCCGUUGCAUCAAAUCCGGCCCGAGAACAUGCAUUAUUUGACGCGGAUUCAUUACAAGGACUUGGGCGAUGGCGUUUGGGGCGAACACGAAAUCGAUUAUAUCCUGUUUCUGCAGAAAGAUGUGGACCUGAAUCCGAACAAAAAUGAAAUUAGUGACAUUCGGUUUGUGAGUCGCGAAAAUUACAAGAAGGAAAUUGACGCGUUGCCGGGCGAAUUGACGCCCUGGUUCAAAUUAAUACUCAAACAUCGUCUUCCCGUUUGGUGGAGCGAUUUGUCGAAACUCAAACUGCACGAAGAUUUGGACACAAUUUAUAAGUUUUCAUAGAACAAAAUAUUUUUUGUACGAAAUUCAUAAAUUUUCAAAGAAAAAAUAUUUUUUAAAUUUUUUAAAAAAAAUUUCAUAGACAUUUUUUAUAAGAAACUAUCGAUCAAAAAAACUAAAACAAAAAAACGGAGGAGCUUUAAAGAAUCAAAUACUAACUUAUUCUACGGGUUGUGGGAC